GAAUAUUGGACAAUGGGGGCAACCCUGAUCCAGCAAUGCCGCGUGUGUGAAGAAGGCCUGCGGGUUGUAAAGCACUUUCAGUAGAGAAGAAAAGCCUAAGGUUAAUAACCUUGAGUCUUGACGUAACCUACAGAAGAAGAACCGGCUAACUCCUGCCCUGCAGCCGCGGUCAUACGGAGGGUGCAAGCGUUAAUCGGGAUUACUGGGCGUAAAGCGCACGUAGGCGGUAUGUUAAGUUGGAUGUGAAAGCCCCGGGCUCAACCUGGGAAUUGCAUUCAAAACUGGCAUGCUAGAGUAUGUGAGAGGGGGGUAGAAUUCCAAGUGUAGCGGUGAAAUGCGUAGAGAUUUGGAGGAAUACCAGUGGCGAAGGCGGCCCCCUGGCACAAUACUGACGCUCAGGUGCGAAAGCGUGGGGAGCAAACAGG
This 425-nucleotide ribosomal RNA is filed under the name uncultured bacterium. RNAcentral describes it as "bacterial SSU rRNA". It matches the Rfam family "Bacterial small subunit ribosomal RNA", at positions 359 to 776 of the family's 1533-position model. The record is from RNAcentral.